This is a long non-coding RNA of Sphaerodactylus townsendi, 142 nucleotides long. RefSeq lists it as uncharacterized. The transcript is spliced from 3 exons. NCBI's taxonomy places the organism in Eukaryota, Metazoa, Chordata, Lepidosauria, Squamata, Sphaerodactylidae. The record is from RefSeq and is a predicted model, not a curated record.
GGCCCCACCAUUCAGAUUGAUGGAAAAGAUGUAGUGACUUAUUAAUCAGAGUGGUGGCUUCACAAUUGAAACACAGAUGUAACCAGAAUUUAAAGGCGACAAGCCAGGCCCUUGUCUCCAGGAUGCAAAUAAAGGAUAUUGA